CGCCGUCACGUGGGCUCCUCCUCCGUGACGUCGGCGUCUUCGCUGUAGCAAAGCUCGGCCUCUGGAAUUCUGAGAACUAAUUUGCUAUUCGGUGACAUAAGAGGGGGAGUGCGCUUCGCUUUCCCGGGGUCUGGGGCUAAUUCUUCCUCUCCUACCCAUAAACUCGGCUCCUCGAGCUAAAUACACAAAAGGGAGCGAGAGAUUUUUGAGCCGUUGGAACAAGUAUGUUAGAGGCAGGUUUAGAGAGGCGAGUGAAAGAGAAAACAAUAAAUACCACAGCUCCUUCCAGCUAGAAUAUUAGGCACCACGAGAAAAAUAUUUGCCAAGCAGUUUUCGGAAAGAAAGUCGUUCCCGGUUUUUUAGCAAUGCUCUCUACCAACUUUCCGUCACUUAGACCAUGUGAAUACCAGACCUGUGUGUAAGGAGGAGUGAAGCCAGUUAUAUUCCUUCAGCCCAAGACCAUUGAGAACUAUGCUAAGAGUGGGAGAGUCCUUCCCAUUACCCAAGCCAGUGUCCCUGAUCUUCUGUGACUAGAAGCUGAGCCUCGGACAGAAUGCAUUCACCGUGUACAUUGUCACAGAGUUGGACUCAAAGCACGUGCUCAGACCCUGAACUCUACGCUUACUGCAGUGUUCAUUAGAGAAAGCAGGGAUGGCGUGGGCAGUCCGGUGUACAAAAGCUAUUUCACGUGUCAGCAUUAGUGGCGUUCUGUUAAUGGUGUGCCCACAAGCCUGAAAGAAGGCCAUAAUGCACAGGCCGUAUGUUCAGGACCAUAGAGUUACACAGUACCGUGAUUUGCUACUCUGAACAAGUCUGCGGUGUCUUAUGAAAAGGCAGCUGCAUCACAACCCUGUGCGCGUUGGUCUUUAAAAUGUAAGAUCUGAACUGUGUUUGGCCUUGAAGCAAUGACGGGCAGCAAGUAUACUGAGUACUCAAACCUUAACUUCUAGUGUUCGAGUCGGGGUUUCCCUUUGCAGCCCUGGCUGUCUCGACUGUAGACCAGGCUGACCUCAAACUCAGAGAUCCACCUGCCUCUGCCUCCCGAGUGUUGAGAUUAAAGGCGUGUGCCACCUUGCCCAACAGCCUAAUAUUUUUUAAUAACAAGAAAGCAAGAAUGAAGGCUCCUUGGAGAGAGGGCUGCAUUUAGAACCAAGAUGGGAAAUAGACUAAAUAAAAAUGAAACAUUGUGGAGUGCAUGAAGUACAUAAUUCUGAAAACAAGGCUACAGUCAGGAGACUUCCCAGGAUAUACAGGACCCUGAUGCAGAGCUCCUGUACAAAGACGGUCAAAUUUGGGCAAUGAAAUAGAACAACAUUUCAGAUUAUUAUCCAAAAUGUAGAAUAAGCAUCCACAAGUCCAUACGAUGUAAGUAAAUUAUUUUUAAAAAUUAAUACAUGGGAGAGAAAAGACAAAUACCCUAUGCAAAAAUCUAAAUAGUUUACAUAGGGGAAGUAUGAAUCCUACCUCUUUAUAGACAUUUAUUCAUUUGUUUACUUAUUCAUUCAUUCAUUUGUGUGUGUGUAUGUGUGUGUGUGUGUGUGUGUGUGUGUGUGUGUGUAGGUCAGAGGACAACUUGCUAAAGUCAUUUUUCUUUUUCUACCUUAUGGGGCCUGGGGAUCAAAAAGCCAUGAGGCUUAUUAGCAAGAACCUUUAUCCACCUCAUUAUCUUGCUGGCCCAUAAACCCCUACUCUCUAAGUAUGGAUUUCAUAGAACCUUUCCCCAAAGAUACGGUAUCUAAAAACGAGCAGAGGAGAGUUCAGAUGAAACCCCAUCUCAGCCUGGUGAGCAAGGGCACUGCCAACAAUAAUAAGUCGUAUUGAUAUUAUGUGCCCUUCCUACCAUAUGAUGAAAGUGGAGUUUUAUCUUUGUGGUUUUUUCCAUUGUCCAUAUCUAAUCAUAAGAAAAACAUCCAACAUGCUAGUAGAGGCAUCCUACAAAACACUUGACCAGCGUCCUCAAAACCGUCAGGGUCGUCUGAAACAAGGAAAGUUAGAGGAAGUGGUACAGCCAAAAGCAGCCUGAGUGACAUGGCAGCCCAAUAGAGGGCAUCCUGGAUGGGAUCAUUGAACAGGAAAAGUCAGAAGAGAAACAUAAGCAGACUCAGUCGAUGAUAGCCACGGACAAUGCUGUUUAGAAACGUGCUGUUACUAAUUACCAAUAGUAGGGGAAGCGAGGUCCAGGGUCACUCUCUGGACCAUUUCCUCACUCUGCUGUUAAUGCAAAAUUAUUCUUAGAAAUAAAGCCUGUGACUCAGA
Peromyscus californicus insignis is the source of this 2256-nucleotide long non-coding RNA. RefSeq lists it as uncharacterized. Lineage: Eukaryota; Metazoa; Chordata; Mammalia; Rodentia; Cricetidae. The record is from RefSeq and is a predicted model, not a curated record. The transcript has 2 exons.